Long non-coding RNA from Equus quagga, 1310 nucleotides. RefSeq lists it as uncharacterized. The record is from RefSeq and is a predicted model, not a curated record. The transcript is spliced from 4 exons. NCBI's taxonomy places the organism in Eukaryota, Metazoa, Chordata, Mammalia, Perissodactyla, Equidae.
GGAGAGAGAGAGAGAAUCAGCCUCCUAAAGUGAGACGGCUUGGUAUUUUCGUCUCCUCUAUUGGUGGAGCUACGGAGGUAUCUCCUGAAAGUCACGAAAAAAAAUUGGAAACAAACGGCAGAAGAGAGAGAGAGGGUGUGGCCUGUCCUUGAACCUUUGCACGGCAAAUAUAUGAGAAUGUUCCAGUUCAAAUAGACACUACAAACUGUCACUGGCCCUGAACUGGCCCCUGGUACCUCAGUUGUGCUGUUUCUUGAUGUAAUCAUUUUGAAAGAAUUUUAAGUUAAAAAUUGGAAUCUGAAUUUAAGUCAACAAGCAGCUGCAAAGUGUGGGACACCUAAUGCCAAAAACGGGAUCACAACUCCAUGGCAAGAUUCCUCCUUUACUUGGAAAGCUUGUAUUGCUUUAAAAGAAAAUAUAAAUCUGAAGAGGAAAAAUAACUAUAUGUGUGUAUAUGGAUCAAAAUGUAAGUCUUCAAUAACAGGACUUUAUGGGGUGUUAAAAAAAGCACCGCCCUAAAUCAGUGCCACAUUAAACUAGACACACACAAAAGGAGCAAAGGCGCGGAGAUUGAACUGCAGCUUUCAUCACUCCACUGGCACAAAUUUUAAAUUCAAAUGCAUACAGAAGAACUUAUUAUGUGAUAAAGAUGCCAUUUCAAAUUCACGUGCAAGGAUGCUUGGUUACCUCACAUCAUUUGCCAAAUAAAUUCCAGAUGCGAAAAAUUAAAAAUAUAAAAUGAAACAAAUUAAAAACAUAUAAAUAAAUAUUUAGGUUUAGCAUAAAAGCAAAGGAAAAAAUUGUAAAGGAAAAUGUUGAAAACUUCUGUGUAUGAAUAUUGCCAUAAAAGCAAAUGAUAAACUGGGAAAAAUACUUGUAGCAUAGACAACUGACAAAAUAAGUGAGACAUUUUUUAAAAAGUCUAUGAGCAUUUGAAAAAGAAAGUUUCAUCUUAUUACUAAUCAAAGGAUUGCACAUUUUUUAAGAUGAAAAAUUCAGCUAUACAAUUGACAAUAUUUUAAAAAAUUUAUUACACUCAAUGUUGUCAAAAGUACUUUGUAGUAUAGAACUAUUCUGUUAUUUAAAAUUAUUUCUUUAAAAGAUAUUCAAUAACAUAGAAAAAUGUUCAUAUCAAAUUCAGAUUACAAAUAGAGUUUAAAUAAUAAUCCAGAUUUAUCUCUCUCUCUCUCCAGAAGGAUAUUACUCGAAAGUUUUAAUAGUGACUAUUUGUAUUACCAGAGUUAUUGAUGAUAAUUUCCUUCUUCAUUCAUUUCUGUAUUUUUUAACUUUUUGAAAAUGAAACAUUGCAA